UGCCAGCAGCCGCGGUAAUUCGAAGGUCCCAAGCGUUGUUCGGAAUCACUGGGCGUAAAGCGUGUGUAGGCGGUUUAUUAAGUCAGAUGUGAAAGCCCGGGGCUCAACCUCGGAACUGCAUUCGAUACUCCCGUGCUAGAGUAAUGGAGAGGUAAGUGGAAUUCCUGGUGUAGCAGUGAAAUGCGUGGAUAUCAGGAGGAACAUCAAUGGCGAAGGCAACUUACUGGACAUUUACUGACGCUCAGACACGAAGGCUAGGGUAGCGAAAGGGAUUAGAUA
Molecule: ribosomal RNA, 279 nt
Filed under: uncultured bacterium
Lineage: Bacteria
Description: partial 16S ribosomal RNA
Rfam family: Bacterial small subunit ribosomal RNA
Source: RNAcentral